This 113-nucleotide non-coding RNA is filed under the name human gut metagenome. RNAcentral's name for it is "SAM riboswitch (S box leader)". It matches the Rfam family "SAM riboswitch aptamer (S box leader)". Rfam says of the family: The SAM riboswitch is found upstream of a number of genes which code for proteins involved in methionine or cysteine biosynthesis in Gram-positive bacteria. The SAM riboswitch acts at the level of transcription termination control. The predicted structure consists of a complex stem-loop region followed by a single stem loop terminator region. The record is from RNAcentral.
CCUUAUCAAGAGUGGCGGAGGAACAGGUCCUGAGAAGCCCGGCAACCAUCGCAUUUUGCGGAAAGGUGCCAAUUCCUGCGGUUCAUGCUUUGUGGCAUUUACCGAGAGAUGAG